This 624-nucleotide ribosomal RNA is filed under the name uncultured bacterium. RNAcentral describes it as "bacterial SSU rRNA". It matches the Rfam family "Bacterial small subunit ribosomal RNA", at positions 222 to 842 of the family's 1533-position model. The record is from RNAcentral.
CGGAUGGGCAUGCGGCGCAUUAGCUAGUCGGCGGGGUAACGGCCCACCGAGGCGACGAUGCGUAGGGGUUCUGAGAGGAAGGUCCCCCACACUGGUACUGAGACACGGACCAGACUCCUACGGGAGGCAGCAGUGAGGAAUAUUGGUCAAUGGGCGCGAGCCUGAACCAGCCAAGUCGCGUGAGGGAUGACGGUCCUACGGAUUGUAAACCUCUUUUGCCGGGGAGCAAGCGUGCGUUCGUGAACGCGCGUCGAGAGUACCCGGAGAAAAAGCAUCGGCUAACUCCGUGCCAGCAGCCGCGGUAAUACGGAGGAUGCGAGCGUUAUCCGGAUUUAUUGGGUUUAAAGGGUGCGUAGGCGGGAUGCCAAGUCAGCGGUAAAAAUGCGGUGCUCAACGCCGUCGAGCCGUUGAAACUGGCGUUCUUGAGUGGGCGAGAAGUAUGCGGAAUGCGUGGUGUAGCGGUGAAAUGCAUAGACAUCACGCAGAACUCCGAUUGCGAAGGCAGCAUACCGGCGCCCUACUGACGCUGAGGCACGAAAGCGUGGGUAUCGAACAGGAUUAGAUACCCUGGUAGUCCACGCAGUAAACGAUGAAUGCUAACUGUCCGGCUCGAAUGAGCGCUGG